GUUCAGCGCGCUCAGGGCACGCCGCCGGAAGCCACGUUGUCACCCCGGAAACGGAAAUCAGGCCUUGGGGGUCAGGGUGCUCCCGCGCACGGCGUGGGCGAGUGUGCGCGUAAAGUUGUGCGCAGUUGGUUGCACUCUGAACCGGAACAGGAAGAGCGGCCGGCCGGUCCCCUGCCCGGAGGACUGUAAAAGGCAGUGAAUAUGGAGUUCCCUACUCCCCAGUUGUGAGGAUAAAUGGCCAGGCGGGAGAGAUAACUCAGCACAGACCGAGACCUUAACAUACUGAAGGAUCAAAAUACUGAAGAGACAUUCUCUGGGCCUCAAUGCCAUCGCCUAUUAAAGAGUGGAAAUGCACAGAUGUGCAGCACAGCCAUCCUUUCUCAGGCCACUUCUGUUAAGAACCUCUCGAAAUGCAAGCUGGGUUGGCUGAACUCAUAUUUUAUAUCCUCUCCUAAGCUGUUUGUCAAGUAAUUACAGACUCCCGGGACUUCGGAAUCUAAAUCUACACACAUGUUCUGGUUUGAUCGCUACAGUGUUAGUGCCGGGAGGCAGGUGCUGUUAUCAAUGUCCUUAUCUUCAUAUUUAAAUGAGUGCCUGAGAAUUUCCUUCCCAUCGGAGAUCCUGAGGUGGUGACUACAAGUUUUCCAUUUUCCAUCCAACAGCUGAUUGUCGUUUCUAUAGGGCUGGGGGUGGAACCCAGGGCCUUGUGUACUAGGCAAGAGUUCUGUUACUGAGCUACGGCCCCAGCCCCUAACAAACAGCUGACAGUUAUUUGCUUUUCUUUCUUUCUUCUGACGUGUUUUCUCUUUGAUGACAGAGCCCAAAUCACGCUAAGAUCUGACAUGUAAUAAACAUCCAGUAACUGUUGAUUUAAA
Rattus norvegicus (Norway rat) is the source of this 875-nucleotide long non-coding RNA. RefSeq lists it as uncharacterized. Lineage: Eukaryota; Metazoa; Chordata; Mammalia; Rodentia; Muridae. The record is from RefSeq and is a predicted model, not a curated record.